This 388-nucleotide ribosomal RNA is filed under the name uncultured bacterium. RNAcentral's name for it is "bacterial SSU rRNA". It matches the Rfam family "Bacterial small subunit ribosomal RNA", at positions 28 to 417 of the family's 1533-position model. The record is from RNAcentral.
GACGAACGCUGGCGGCGUGCUUAACACAUGCAAGUCGAGCGGUAAGGCCCUUUCGGGGGUACACGAGCGGCGAACGGGUGAGUAACACGUAGGUGACCUGCCCUCAGCUCUGGGAUAAGCCUGGGAAACCGGGUCUAAUACUGGAUAUGACUCCAUGACGCAUGUUGUGGGGUGGAAAGCCUUGUGCGGCUGAGGAUGGGCCCGCGGCCUAUCAGCUUGUUGGUGGGGUGANGGCCUACCAAGGCGACGACGGGUAGCCGGCCUGAGAGGGCGACCGGCCACACUGGGACUGAGACACGGCCCAGACUCCUACGGGAGGCAGCAGUGGGGAAUCUUGCGCAAUGGGCGAAAGCCUGACGCAGCGACGCCGCGUGAGGGAUGACGGCCU